RNAcentral lists this ribosomal RNA (468 nucleotides) under uncultured bacterium. RNAcentral describes it as "partial 16S ribosomal RNA". It matches the Rfam family "Bacterial small subunit ribosomal RNA", at positions 28 to 507 of the family's 1533-position model. The record is from RNAcentral.
GACGAACGCUGGCGGCGUGCUUAACACAUGCAAGUCGAACGGAAAGGCCCUGCUUUUGUGGGGUGCUCGAGUGGCGAACGGGUGAGUAACACGUGAGUAACCUGCCCUUGACUUUGGGAUAACUUCAGGAAACUGGGGCUAAUACCGGAUAGGAGCUCCUGCUGCAUGGUGGGGGUUGGAAAGUUUCGGCGGUUGGGGAUGGACUCGCGGCUUAUCAGCUUGUUGGUGGGGUAGUGGCUUACCAAGGCUUUGACGGGUAGCCGGCCUGAGAGGGUGACCGGGGCCAUUGGGAGUGUGAGACGGCGCCGAGUCCUCCGGGGGGGAGCGGUGUGGAAUAUAGCACACUGGGCGGAGGCGUGAUGUAGAGACGCCGCGUGCGGGAGGACGGGGUCUGGGUUGUAAACAGCUUUCGCGUGUGACGAAGCGUGAGUGACGGUAAUGGGUAAAGAAGCACCGGCUAACUACGUG